This 524-nucleotide ribosomal RNA is filed under the name Candida albicans. Its description in RNAcentral is "partial large subunit ribosomal RNA". It matches the Rfam family "Eukaryotic large subunit ribosomal RNA", at positions 117 to 656 of the family's 3401-position model. Lineage: Eukaryota; Fungi; Ascomycota; Pichiomycetes; Serinales; Debaryomycetaceae. The record is from RNAcentral.
GAAAUCUGGCGUCUUUGGCGUCCGAGUUGUAAUUUGAAGAAGGUAUCUUUGGGCCCGGCUCUUGUCUAUGUUCCUUGGAACAGGACGUCACAGAGGGUGAGAAUCCCGUGCGAUGAGAUGACCCGGGUCUGUGUAAAGUUCCUUCGACGAGUCGAGUUGUUUGGGAAUGCAGCUCUAAGUGGGUGGUAAAUUCCAUCUAAAGCUAAAUAUUGGCGAGAGACCGAUAGCGAACAAGUACAGUGAUGGAAAGAUGAAAAGAACUUUGAAAAGAGAGUGAAAAAGUACGUGAAAUUGUUGAAAGGGAAGGGCUUGAGAUCAGACUUGGUAUUUUGCAUGUUGCUCUCUCGGGGGCGGCCGCUGCGGUUUACCGGGCCAGCAUCGGUUUGGAGCGGCAGGAUAAUGGCGGAGGAAUGUGGCACGGCUUCUGCUGUGUGUUAUAGCCUCUGACGAUACUGCCAGCCUAGACCGAGGACUGCGGUUUUUACCUAGGAUGUUGGCAUAAUGAUCUUAAGUCGCCCGUCUUG